UGCAAGCAGCUUUCUGAGUUGUCCAGUUG
Molecule: non-coding RNA, 29 nt
Filed under: Rattus norvegicus (Norway rat)
Lineage: Eukaryota; Metazoa; Chordata; Mammalia; Rodentia; Muridae
Source: RNAcentral